CCUACGGGGGGCUGCAGUGGGGAAUAUUGGACAAUGGGCGAAAGCCUGAUCCAGCCAUGCCGCGUGUGUGAAGAAGGCCUUCGGGUUGUAAAGCACUUUCAGUGGGGAAGAAAGCCUUGGGGCUAAUACCCUCGAGGAAGGACAUCACCCACAGAAGAAGCACCGGCUGAACUCCGUGCCAGCAGCCGCGGUAAUACGGAGGGUGCGAGCGUUAAUCGGAAUUACUGGGCGUAAAGCGCGCGUAGGCGGUCUGAUAAGCCGGUUGUGAAAGCCCCGGGCUCAACCUGGGAACGGCAUCCGGAACUGUCAGGCUAGAGUGCAGGAGAGGAAGGUAGAAUUCCCGGUGUAGCGGUGAAAUGCGUAGAGAUCGGGAGGAAUACCAGUGGCGAAGGCGGCCUUCUGGACUGACACUGACGCUGAGGUGCGAAAGCGUGGGUAGCAAACAGGAUUAGAUACCCGGGUAGUC
RNAcentral lists this ribosomal RNA (466 nucleotides) under Vreelandella stevensii. RNAcentral describes it as "partial 16S ribosomal RNA". It matches the Rfam family "Bacterial small subunit ribosomal RNA", at positions 338 to 795 of the family's 1533-position model. The record is from RNAcentral. Lineage: Bacteria; Pseudomonadati; Pseudomonadota; Gammaproteobacteria; Oceanospirillales; Halomonadaceae.